This is a long non-coding RNA of Ornithodoros turicata, 345 nucleotides long. RefSeq lists it as uncharacterized. The transcript has 3 exons. The record is from RefSeq and is a predicted model, not a curated record. NCBI's taxonomy places the organism in Eukaryota, Metazoa, Arthropoda, Arachnida, Ixodida, Argasidae.
CUGACAUACUCAUAUGCCUUGGCUGAAUAGAACUGCAGGCACGAAAUCAAGCUGUACAUCGGAGAGCGAGCCACGGAGCAUGUCACUGCACUGUGCUGACACAAGAGAUUUGUCCCGAAGGUCACUCAUUAUGCCUUCCACAAGCCUCAAGUGUUACGUUGGCCUUUCGCUUGAGUGUGCGUGGACUGUCUCGUACCACAUAGCUGUGGUCUGCAGCAGGGUCAUGUGGUCGUGUAGCCGGUUGUGAUGACGUCCCUGGCUGUGCAACCUCGUUGACUUCCUCCGACUCCACAUUGCAUCUAAUUGGGGGGACCCUCUUUGGUUGCACGGUCUGUGUGAAAAUGU